This 629-nucleotide long non-coding RNA is filed under the name Gopherus agassizii (Agassiz's desert tortoise). Its description in RNAcentral is "lncRNA (ENSGAGG00000018147.1)". The record is from RNAcentral. Lineage: Eukaryota; Metazoa; Chordata; Testudines; Testudinidae.
CUGGACAGCAGCUCCGGAAGCGCCUUUCCUUCCCCCCCUUUCCUUGAGAGGAAGCUAGGGUGAUGGUGACCAUCGCUAGCUAUAGAAAAAAAAGGAGACCUUGGUGAUGAUCCUUAAAAUAAUACCAUGCAGGAGUCCCCCUCUUCUGCAAGCUUCUCUCCUUUCAACCUUCCUGACCCAGUGGGAUUUGGGUGAGAUCCCUAGGAGGAACCUUCGCUGCAGCAGGUUUCUCAGAUCCAUCAUCAAGCUGAAAUGAAGACCUUGGAAGCUGAAGAAAGCUGAGUGCACCACUACCUGGCUUCAGAGAAAGGAACUACUGGUCCAGCCAACCUUUCUCCGGACGACUUUUGGUAGCUUUAAAUUGCCAGUAGCCUACCUUGAAAGACACAGCUAUUGCUUCUUUCAGCACACAUGGAGGAAGGCAGCAAAGUGUGUAACCCUGGCUAAUCAGACUGUGGCUUUCCUAUGAAGAGUAGAAGGCAGACCAAUCAUAAAAGGAUUAUUUCACAGUUAGCCUCCAGGACUUUACCUCUGACCUGAUCACUGGACACAAAUUCAAGCCAAUUCCAACAACCUGAGUUUUCACUACCUGUUCUUUAUCAUUGUUUUAAUUUUUCUUUCUUUGGUAU